UUAAAAGUUUCGUUUCGGUCC
Molecule: microRNA, 21 nt
Filed under: Medicago truncatula (barrel medic)
Lineage: Eukaryota; Viridiplantae; Streptophyta; Magnoliopsida; Fabales; Fabaceae
Description: mtr-miR2671h
Source: miRBase by way of RNAcentral